CACGCCCUAAACGAUGAUGAUUAAGUGUCGGGCCUUGUGCUCGGUGCUGUAGCAAACGCGUUAAAUCAUCCACCUGAGGAGUACGGCCGCAAGGUUAAAACUCAAAUGAAUAGACGGGGACCCACACAAGCAGUGGAUCAUGCGGUUUAAUUCGAUAAUAAACGGGGAAUCUUACCCAGGCUUGACAUCUAGAGAAUCUUGCAGAAAUGUAGGAGUGCCCGCAAGGGAACUCUAAGACAGGCGC
RNAcentral lists this ribosomal RNA (244 nucleotides) under uncultured bacterium. Its description in RNAcentral is "partial 16S ribosomal RNA". It matches the Rfam family "Bacterial small subunit ribosomal RNA", at positions 796 to 1041 of the family's 1533-position model. The record is from RNAcentral.